Molecule: ribosomal RNA, 253 nt
Filed under: uncultured bacterium
Lineage: Bacteria
Description: partial 16S ribosomal RNA
Rfam family: Bacterial small subunit ribosomal RNA
Source: RNAcentral
UACGAAGGGGGCUAGCGUUGCUCGGAAUCACUGGGCGUAAAGAGCGUGUAGGCGGCCAUGUAGGUCCGUUGUGAAAACUCGAGGCUCAACCUCGAGACGCCGAUGGAAACCAUGUGGCUAGAGUCCGGAAGAGGAGAGUGGAAUUCCUGGUGUAGCGGUGAAAUGCGCAGAUAUCAGGAAGAACACCCGUGGCUAAGGCGGCUCUCUAGUACGGUACUGACGCUGAGACGCGAAAGCGUGGGGAGCGAACAGG